RNAcentral lists this unclassified non-coding RNA (377 nucleotides) under uncultured Parachlamydiaceae bacterium. Its description in RNAcentral is "contains 16S-23S intergenic spacer region". Lineage: Bacteria; Pseudomonadati; Chlamydiota; Chlamydiia; Parachlamydiales; Parachlamydiaceae. The record is from RNAcentral.
UCCCGGUUAACCCGGGCAGUCUCGCUAGAGUUCCCACCUAAAAUGUUGGCAACUAACGAUAAGGGUUGCGCUCGUUGCGGGACUUAACCCAACACCUCACGGCACGAGCUGACGACAGCCAUGCAGCACCUGUUCAGCAGUCCCGAAGGAAGACUCCAUUUCUGGAGCUGUCUACUGUAUGUCAAGCCUGGGUAAGGUUCUUCGCGUUGCAUCGAAUUAAACCACAUGCUCCACUGCUUGUGCGGGUCCCCGUCAAUUCUUUUGAGUUUCAGCCUUGCGACUGUACUCCCCAGGCGGUAUACUUAACGCGUUAGCUCCGGCACAGCCAGGGUUGAUUCCGGCUACACCAAGUAUACAUCGUUUACGGCAAGGACUAC